Molecule: ribosomal RNA, 497 nt
Filed under: uncultured bacterium
Lineage: Bacteria
Description: partial 16S ribosomal RNA
Rfam family: Bacterial small subunit ribosomal RNA
Source: RNAcentral
GAUGAACGCUGGCGGCGUGCCUAAUACAUGCAAGUCGAGCGAACAGACGAGGAGCUUGCUCCUCUGACGUUAGCGGCGGACGGGUGAGUAACACGUGGAUAACCUACCUAUAAGACUGGGAUAACUUCGGGAAACCGGAGCUAAUACCGGAUAAUAUAUUGAACCGCAUGGUUCAAUAGUGAAAGACGGUUUUGCUGUCACUUAUAGAUGGAUCCGCGCCGCAUUAGCUAGUUGGUAAGGUAACGGCUUACCAAGGCAACGAUGCGUAGCCGACCUGAGAGGGUGAUCGGCCGCACUGGAACUGAGACACGGUCCAGACUCCUACGGGAGGCAGCAGUAGGGAAUCUUCCGCAAUGGGCGAAAGCCUGACGGAGCAACGCCGCGUGAGUGAUGAAGGUCCUCGGAUCGUAAAACUCUGUUAUUAGGGAAGAACAAAUGUGUAAGUAACUAUGCACGUCUUGACGGUACCUAAUCAGAAAGCCACGGCUAACUACGUG